This 64-nucleotide transfer RNA is filed under the name Cryptocephalus androgyne. Its description in RNAcentral is "tRNA-His". Lineage: Eukaryota; Metazoa; Arthropoda; Insecta; Coleoptera; Chrysomelidae. The record is from RNAcentral.
AUCUAAAUAGUUUAGUUAAAAUAUUAACUUGUGGAGUUAGGGAAGCAUUGUUGUGUUUUAGAUA